Molecule: ribosomal RNA, 1454 nt
Filed under: uncultured prokaryote
Description: partial 16S ribosomal RNA
Rfam family: Bacterial small subunit ribosomal RNA
Source: RNAcentral
UUGAUCCUGGCUCAGAACGAACCCUGGCGGCGUGGAUUAGGCAUGCAAGUCGCACGAGAAAGCUCCUUCGGGAGUGAGUAAAGUGGCGAAAGGGUGAGUAAUGCGUAGAUAACCUACCCUUGAGAUCGGGAUAACAGUUCGAAAGGACUGCUAAUACCGGAUGGCGCCGCUCGAGCUAAAUGGUGGGGACCUUCGGGCCUGCCGCUCAAGGAGGGGUCUACGUCCUAUUAGCUUGUUGGUGGGGUAACGGCCUACCAAGGUGACGAUGGGUAGCCGGCCUGAGAGGGUGUCCGGCCACACUGGGACUGAGACACUGCCCAGACUCCUACGGGAGGCUGCAGUCGAGAAUCUUCCGCAAUGGGCGAAAGCCUGACGGAGCGACGCCGCGUGGACGAUGAAGGCCUUCGGGUUGUAAAGUCCUUUCAAUAGGAAACCCGUGGUGUUAAUAACACUACGAUUGACGUUAUUGUGUAAAGAAGCUCCGGCUAACUUCGUGCCAGCAGCCGCGGUAAUACGAAGGGAGCGAGCGUUGUUCGGAAUCACUGGGCAUAAAGGGCACGUAGGCGGCUUGGUAAGUUGGAUGUGAAAGCCCCUGGCUCAACCAGGGAACUGCAUUCAAAACUGCCUUGCUAGAGUGUGGGAGGGGAGAACGGAAUUCCUGGUGGAGCGGUGAAAUGCGUAGAUAUCAGGAGGAACGCCGGUGGCGAAAGCGACUCUCUGGCCUGCAACUGACGCUGAGGCGCGAAAGCUAGGGGAGCAAACAGGAUUAGAUACCCUGGCAGUCCUAGCCCUAAACGAUGAGCACUAGGUGGAGGGGGCUCCGAAGGCCUCCCUGCCGGAGCUAAUGUGUUAAGUGCCCCGCCUGGGGAGUAUGGUCGCAAGGCUAAAACUCAAAGGAAUUGACGGGGGCUCACACAAGCGGUGGAGGAUGUGGUUUAAUUCGAAGCAACGCGCAGAACCUUACCCGGGUUUGAAAUGCAGGGAUUAGGCUCCUGAAAGGGAGUUGACGCCGCAAGGUGGAACCUGCGCAGGUGUUGCAUGGCUGUCGUCAGCUCGUGUCGUGAGAUGUCGGGUUAAGUCCCUUAACGAGCGAAACCCUUGUCUUUAGUUGCCAGCGGGUAAUGCCGGGGACUCUAGAGAGACUGCCGUUGUUAAAACGGAGGAAGGUGGGGACGACGUCAAGUCAUCAUGGCCUUUAUGUCCGGGGCUACACACGUCCCACAAUGGCCGGUACAAAGGGAAGCGAAGCCGCAAGGUGAAGCAAAUCCCACAAAGCCGGUCUCAGUUCGGAUUGUGGGCUGCAAUUCGCCCGCAUGAAGUCGGAAUCGCUAGUAAUCGCGGAUCAGCUACGCCGCGGUGAAUAUGUUCCUGAGCCUUGUACACACCGCCCGUCAAGCCACGGAAGUUGACAGUACCCGACGUUCGUGACCUAACCUUCGGGAAGGAAGCGCCUA